Molecule: ribosomal RNA, 510 nt
Filed under: uncultured bacterium
Lineage: Bacteria
Description: bacterial SSU rRNA
Rfam family: Bacterial small subunit ribosomal RNA
Source: RNAcentral
AACGAACGCUGGCGGCGUGCCUAACACAUGCAAGUCGUGCGAGAAAGUUCCUUCGGGAGCGAGUAAAGCGGCGCACGGGUGAGUAACACGUAGGUAACCUGCCCCCCAGUCUGGAACAACUAGAGGAAACUCUAGCUAAUGCCGGAUGAGACCACGAUCCCUUCGGGGGUUGCGGCCAAAGAUGGCCUCUACUUGUAAGCUAUCGCUGAGGGAUGGGCCUGCGGGCCAUUAGCUUGUUGGUGAGGUAACGGCUCACCAAGGCUGUGAUGGCUAGCUGGUCUGAGAGGAUGACCAGCCACACUGGGACUGAGACACGGCCCAGACUCCUACGGGAGGCAGCAGUGGGGAAUAUUGCGCAAUGGGCGAAAGCCUGACGCAGCGACGCCGCGUGGGGGAUGAAGGUCUUUCGGGAUUGUAAACCCCUUUCGGAGGGAAGAUGGAGUGGGGUAACCACUUGGACGGUACCUCCAGAAGCAGCCACGGCUAACUUCGUGCCAGCAGCCGCGGUAA